UUCUGUGACUAUACCACCCUGAAUGCACCCUAUCCCAUCUAAUUUUGGAGGUUAAGCAAGAUCAGAUCUGGUUAGCACUUGGAUGGGAGAAAAUAAUGAUAAAUUACAGAUA
Molecule: ribosomal RNA, 112 nt
Organism: Ictidomys tridecemlineatus (thirteen-lined ground squirrel)
Lineage: Eukaryota; Metazoa; Chordata; Mammalia; Rodentia; Sciuridae
Source: Ensembl